UCGCCCACCCACUUGCCUCUAUACAUACUAUAAAUAAAAGAGAAAAGGGAAUAAGUUGAGCACCAAUUUUUCCAAAAUGAAGGCUUUUCUCAUUCUCUGCAUUCUCUUAGCUUCCAUUCCUUCUUUUCCUUCCGUUUAUGCUCGACAACUAAUAGCAAAAGGAGCUGUGAAUGGAUCAUUAGCGCCACUAGUAUAUUGUUCGAUAAACAAAACGAGAAGUUGCUACAGCCCACCACCACCAACGACAAUUUGCAGUCCAUACAACCGCAAAUGCCAUAGACCACCAGGAAGUACGUAGAGCCUGACUGACUAUUUUCCAAAAACUUCCCCUGCCUCUUGCUAGCUAGCUACCAUAUAUGUGAUUGUUUCUUUCAGUUAUUUCUUGGUGACUAGUUUCAGCAGCAGGUAUUUGUUUUUUUAAUUAAGAAUAAAGUCAGUAAUAUAUUAUUGGGACAAUAAUUCGAGUUUGAAUUCCCUGUCUCCAAUAUAAAAAAAAAAAAAACGAAAAAAAAAGUCUUUUGGAUUUGUUUCUAUGCAUAAAACUCUGAAAGGUUUAUAUAUGUAUAAUGUGUGUGAGAGACAAAGAGGGGGGUCCUUAUAAGAAUGCUUUAUUUGUGAUUAAUACAUAAGAAUUGUAUUUGCAGUAAUUAACUUGUAUGCAAUAAAGUUCCACAUGCCUCUUUUAUUUUA
Molecule: long non-coding RNA, 690 nt
Organism: Ziziphus jujuba (common jujube)
Lineage: Eukaryota; Viridiplantae; Streptophyta; Magnoliopsida; Rosales; Rhamnaceae
Exons: 2
Source: RefSeq, a predicted model, not a curated record